This 837-nucleotide long non-coding RNA is filed under the name Homo sapiens (human). Its description in RNAcentral is "non-protein coding lnc-UQCRFS1-3:18". Lineage: Eukaryota; Metazoa; Chordata; Mammalia; Primates; Hominidae. The record is from RNAcentral.
GGAGUCUCGGGGUCGCGUGCACCUGGGCGGCCAGGGAGGCUCCAGUGCCCGGGAGAAAGGCAAGAAAACUGAGGCACAGAGAGAUUGUCACACAGCCAGUAAGUUGACUGCAAGGCCUCUGAGGCACGGGAAUUCACAGCUGAGUUCUUGGAGAAGGUCCUUGAGCCAUCUGGAUGGCGGACAGUCUGGCACAUGAUGUGCUCAAGGUGCUGCUUGAGGCCACAGAUGUGGACAUUUCAGCCUUGAAGGCAGUGGUGCAGCUUGCUGAGCCAUACCUCUGUGAAUCUUGAGCGAGUACUUUCACCUUGGAGUGUGUGAAAGAGCUCCUCGAGCUGAAGGAACAUCAGUUGCCCCUGAAGGAGCUGGGUGGUGUUUGAUGAUUCUGGAGACAGCACUUGUAACUUGUAACUGAGCAUGUCAGCUAGGAAGGAUAGCCACUGAGCAAGCCUGUAAGGCUAUUGGUCUGCCCAUUCUGGUUUCUUCACCAAUGAGAAAACUGGGACCUGGGGAGUUUGCAGAAGCCAUCCAAGGGCACCUGCUUCUCACAGCACAGCAGCUUCCUGCAGCCCUCCCUCCUGUCUUGUUUCUCCCUUAAUUGAGAGGAGAGGCCAGAACCAGAUGCAGGCAGUUCCAACAGUAAUGAAUUGCUCUAAGGUGUGGAUCCAAGAACCGGUGACAAGGUCAGGAAAUUCCAUCCCGGGACACUGACCCAACUAAGAGACUGUGCAUGAUGGCUAAGUUCAGAGCUCUGAGGAGAUGGUAAAACUCAUUUGCAACGAAACAAGAUAUUUUCCAACUCUGCAGCCAGGCAGGGCAGCCAUCCCUGUUCACUCCCUG